This 434-nucleotide ribosomal RNA is filed under the name uncultured bacterium. RNAcentral's name for it is "bacterial SSU rRNA". It matches the Rfam family "Bacterial small subunit ribosomal RNA", at positions 88 to 509 of the family's 1533-position model. The record is from RNAcentral.
AAACUUAGCGGCGAACGGGUGAGUAACACGUAAAGAACCUGCCUCAUAGACUGGGACAACUAUUGGAAACGAUAGCUAAUACCGGAUAACAGCAUUAACUGCAUGGUUGAUGUUUAAAAGUUGGUUUUGCUAACACUAUGAGAUGGCUUUGCGGUGCAUUAGCUAGUUGGUGGGGUAAAGGCCUACCAAGGCGACGAUGCAUAGCCGACCUGAGAGGGUGAUCGGCCACACUGGGACUGAGACACGGCCCAGACUCCUACGGGAGGCAGCAGUAGGGAAUCUUCCGCAAUGGGCGAAAGCCUGACGGAGCAACGCCGCGUGAGUGAAGAAGGAUUUCGGUUCGUAAAGCUCUGUUGUUAGGGAAGAAUGAUUGUGUAGUAACUAUACACAGUAGAGACGGUACCUAACCAGAAAGCCACGGCUAACUACGUGCC